Molecule: long non-coding RNA, 1173 nt
Filed under: Homo sapiens (human)
Lineage: Eukaryota; Metazoa; Chordata; Mammalia; Primates; Hominidae
Description: novel transcript
Source: RNAcentral
AAAGCGGCGCAUUGAGGCAGGUGGGGUGCCAGUGGAAGAGAGAAAGCAGGCGAGUGUUUACGGCCUGACUUGGGAGGCCGGCGGAUCAGCAAUUGCAGAAGCAGGCAGCGGCAGAGAGGGAAUGGUGCAGGCAGGCGCUGAGAAGGACGCGCAGUCCAUCUCUCUCAGGUACUUGAAGAAACAGAAGCUCAACAUUUAUAUCAGUCCAUCUUGCCUGAUAUGGUGAAAAUUGCACUCUGUCUGCCAAAUAUUUGCACCCAGCCAAUACCACUCCUGAAACAGAAGAUGAAUCAUUCCAUCACAAUGUCGCAGGAACAGAUUGCCAGUCUUUUAGCUAAUGCUUUCUUCUGCACAUUUCCACGAUGAAAUGCUCAGAUGAAAUCGGAGUAUUCUAGUUACCCAGACAUUAACUUCAAUCGAUUGUUUGAGGGACGUUCAUCAAGGAAACCGGAGAAACUUAAAACGCUCUUCUGCUACUUUAGAAGAGUCACAGAGAAAAAACCUACUGGGUUGGUGACAUUUACAAGACAGAGUCUUGAAGAUUUUCCAGAAUGGGAAAGAUGUGAAAAACCCUUGACACGAUUGCAUGUCACUUACGAAGGUACCAUAGAAGAAAAUGGCCGAGGCAUGCUACAGGUGGAUUUUGCAAAUCAUUUUGUUGGAGGUGGUGUAACCAGUGCAGGACUUGUGCAAGAAGAAAUCCGCUUUUUAAUCAAUCCUGAGUUGAUUAUUUCACGGCUCUUCACUGAGGUGCUGGAUCACAAUGAAUGUCUAAUUAUCACAGUGUCAGAGAUGGCUUUGGAUUCCCCAUUCUGUGUGCUGCUGUCUGGCUCCUGAACCCACCUGUAGAGGUGUGUCAAUCCCAGCUGGUGAAGUACUGAGAAGAAGCUACACAAAAGGCAUCAAAGUAUUAGUAAGUGUACCUCUGACAUUUUAACCACCUCUGACUUUUCCAUGGAAUGGACAAGUAGUAGUCUCUGUCAGAGCUACAUUUUAAAGGAGAAAAAGAAACGUGAAGUCAUGAACUGUUUAUUUAUGCUGUUAUUUUUGUGUUUACUCACCUCAUUUAUAUUGACUUGUAAAUUAGUAAUUUCUGAACUAUUACUUAUCAAUUCAUUGCCUACAUGUCAGCAAACAAAUUUUCUUCUUAAUAAAGAAUACAGUUGCUGGGCA